Molecule: ribosomal RNA, 637 nt
Filed under: uncultured bacterium
Lineage: Bacteria
Description: bacterial SSU rRNA
Rfam family: Bacterial small subunit ribosomal RNA
Source: RNAcentral
GCUUAACCGGAGAAGUGCAUCGGAAACUGGGUAACUUGAGUGCAGAAGAGGACAGUGGAACUCCAUGUGUAGCGGUGGAAUGCGUAGAUAUAUGGAAGAACACCAGUGGCGAAGGCGGCUGUCUAGUCUGUAACUGACGCUGAGGCUCGAAAGCAUGGGUAGCGAACAGGAUUAGAUACCCUGGUAGUCCAUGCCGUAAACGAUGAGUGCUAGGUGUUGGAGGGCUUCCGCCCUUCAGUGCCGCAGCUAACGCAUUAAGCACUCCGCCUGGGGAGUACGACCGCAAGGUUGAAACUCAAAGGAAUUGACGGGGGCCCGCACAAGCGGUGGAGCAUGUGGUUUAAUUCGAAGCUACGCGAAGAACCUUACCAGGUCUUGACAUCUUCUGCCAAUCUUAGAGAUAAGACGUUCCCUUCGGGGACAGAAUGACAGGUGGUGCAUGGUUGUCGUCAGCUCGUGUCGUGAGAUGUUGGGUUAAGUCCCGCAACGAGCGCAACCCUUAUUAUCAGUUGCCAGCAUUCAGUUGGGCACUCUGGUGAGACUGCCGGUGACAAACCGGAGGAAGGUGGGGAUGACGUCAAAUCAUCAUGCCCCUUAUGACCUGGGCUACACACGUGCUACAAUGGACGGUACAACG